GUGCCAGCCGCCGCGGUAAGACGAACCGUGCGAACGUUAUUCGGAAUCACUGGGCUUAAAGGGUGCGUAGGCUGCGAGGAGGGUGGGGUGUGAAAUCCCUCGGCUUAACCGAGGAAUUGCGCUCCAAACCGCCUUGCUGGAGUGAGACAGAGGUGAGCGGAACUAAUGGUGGAGCGGUGAAAUGCGUUGAUAUCAUUAGGAACACCAGAGGCGAAGGCGGCUCACUGGGUCUCAACUGACGCUGAUGCACGAAAGCUAGGGUAGCGAACGGGAUUAGAAACCCGAGUAGUCC
RNAcentral lists this ribosomal RNA (292 nucleotides) under uncultured bacterium. Its description in RNAcentral is "partial 16S ribosomal RNA". It matches the Rfam family "Bacterial small subunit ribosomal RNA", at positions 505 to 796 of the family's 1533-position model. The record is from RNAcentral.